Molecule: transfer RNA, 62 nt
Filed under: Cerion incanum
Lineage: Eukaryota; Metazoa; Mollusca; Gastropoda; Stylommatophora; Cerionidae
Description: tRNA-Gln
Source: RNAcentral
UCUUAGUUGGUGUAAGGUCACGAUAAAUUUUGAAUUUAUAGGAAGGCAUUGCCCUAUAAGAA